RNAcentral lists this ribosomal RNA (234 nucleotides) under uncultured Sphingobacteriales bacterium. RNAcentral describes it as "partial 16S ribosomal RNA". It matches the Rfam family "Bacterial small subunit ribosomal RNA", at positions 1149 to 1382 of the family's 1533-position model. The record is from RNAcentral. Lineage: Bacteria; Pseudomonadati; Bacteroidota; Sphingobacteriia; Sphingobacteriales.
CUGCCUACGCAAGUAGUGAGGAAGGCGGGGAUGACGUCAAAUCAGCACGGCCCUUACGUCCAGGGCUACACACGUGCUACAAUGGCCGAUACAGAGGGCAGCUACCUGGUGACAGGAUGCAAAUCUCCAAAGUCGGUCUCAGUUCGGAUCGGAGUCUGCAACCCGACUCCGUGAAGUUGGAUUCGCUAGUAAUCGCGCAUCAGCCAUGGCGCGGUGAAUACGUUCCCGGGCCUU